This 275-nucleotide ribosomal RNA is filed under the name uncultured bacterium. RNAcentral's name for it is "partial 16S ribosomal RNA". It matches the Rfam family "Bacterial small subunit ribosomal RNA", at positions 338 to 628 of the family's 1533-position model. The record is from RNAcentral.
CCUACGGGAGGCUGCAGUGGGGAAUUUUCCGCAAUGGGCGCAAGCCUGACGGAGCAAGACCGCGUGAGGGAGGAAGGCUCUUGGGUUGUAAACCUCUUUUAUCAGGGAAGAAGCUCUGACGGUACCUGAUGAAUCAGCAUCGGCUAACUCCGUGCCAGCAGCCGCGGUAAUACGGAGGAUGCAAGCGUUAUCCGGAUUUAUUGGGCGUAAAGCGUCCGCAGGUGGUUUUACAAGUCUGCUGUCAAAGCGCGAGGCUUAACCUUGUACAGGCAGUG